Molecule: long non-coding RNA, 700 nt
Organism: Metopolophium dirhodum (rose-grain aphid)
Lineage: Eukaryota; Metazoa; Arthropoda; Insecta; Hemiptera; Aphididae
Exons: 3
Source: RefSeq, a predicted model, not a curated record
UCUGUUAAGUAAUUUGGCCGGUGCCGGAUGCCGUAAAACUUAAUAGUGAAUUGUGAAUACUUAGUAGCAAUGGCGCUUAUGUAGUAUUUCUGUUAUUGUUACAAACUACGCCACUUGACAUUAGUACAUUACACGUUUUCACUUCCGACAUUUUAUCCAUUCGCAUCGGUGCUCGAGAAAUCACUACAUCAAUGUUGUUUCUGAAUUCAAAUUCGGUGAGUACUUGGUAAUCUAAUCAUUGUUCGUAAUGUCCGUAUUAUUCUCCACAGUCGAUUUCACGACAAGCCAGUAUUGAUAUUUAUGGUCCACUCGCUACUAAUGCACGGAGAAGAGAAGUUUCAAUGAUAUUAGUCUACAUAGACUUCAUAUAUUAUAUAGUCUAGAUUCGUGAAUAGUUGCAUACUCUUGCCCAGGAGAGAUCAUUACCAUGUCCCAACCAAAACGUUAUCCUCCACUCAACAACGGUUUGUGAAUGUAUGGUACAUUUGACAACACUGAACGGAAUAAUUCAUAUAUAUACGACCUAUACUGUAGCAGCACUAAGUGAGGGAAUUUGUGCUUUGGACCGGUCAACAUUUAAACAUCUAUGGUUCUCCUAAUGUCGGUUAAGGACUUACGGUGCGUUUUUAUUGACGAAUGCUGGUUUUUUUGACCGCCGAUAUACGUCCGGCAAUGGCAGCGUGUACGUGUUCGGACUCGG